UGGGGAAUAUUGCGCAAUGGGCGAAAGCCUGACGCAGCGACGCCGCGUGAGGGAUGACGGCCUUCGGGUUGUAAACCUCUUUCAGCAGGGACGAAUUCAGACGGUACCUGCAGAAGAAGCACCGGCCAACUACGUGCCAGCAGCCGCGGUAAUACGUAGGGUGCAAGCGUUGUCCGGAAUUAUUGGGCGUAAAGAGCUCGUAGGCGGUCUGUCGCGUCGGCUGUGAAAACUUGGGGCUCAACCCCAAGCCUGCAGUCGAUACGGGCAGACUAGAGUGUGGUAGGGGAGACUGGAAUUCCUGGUGUAGCGGUGAAAUGCGCAGAUAUCAGGAGGAACACCGGUGGCGAAGGCGGGUCUCUGGGCCAUAACUGACGCUGAGGAGCGAAAGCGUGGGGAGCGAACAGGAUUAGAUACCCUGGUAGUCCACGCCGUAAACGGUGGGUGCUAGGUGUGAGCGGUAUUCCACGCCGUUCGUGCCGCAGCUAACGCAUUAAGCACCCCGCCUGGGGAGUACGGCCGCAAGGCUA
RNAcentral lists this ribosomal RNA (527 nucleotides) under uncultured bacterium. RNAcentral describes it as "bacterial SSU rRNA". It matches the Rfam family "Bacterial small subunit ribosomal RNA", at positions 355 to 896 of the family's 1533-position model. The record is from RNAcentral.